GCUCGCUGAUGGUGCUCUUUUCCUCGGAGCGGUCGUCAACCACGCCGUCGUCGAUGGCACUUCCUUGUGGAACUUCUUCAACGCCUGGGCUGAGAUAUGUCGUGGCGGCAUCCCCGCGUCGCCGGACCUCCGCCGUAACUACUUCGGUGACUCAAAGGCUGUGCUACGAUUCCCAAGCGGAGCCGGGCCCGAGGUGACGUUUCAGAUGGACGCGCCGCUUCGAGAGAGGAUCUUUCGCUUCAGCCGCGAGGCAAUUUUCGACCUAAAAUCGAGGGCCAAUCGCCAGAGUCCCAAGCUCGUUGACGAUGGCAACGCCCUGGCUGGAAUACAUGAGGAACAGAUCCCGGACGGAGAGUCAGAGGCGUUGGCGGCGGUGGUGAAGGAGGACGAGAUCUCGUCAUUCCAAUCCCUCUGUGCUCUGGUCUGGCGGUCCGUGACAGGAGCUCGAAAGCGGCUGGCCAUGGAAGCG
This 469-nucleotide long non-coding RNA is filed under the name Musa acuminata (dwarf banana). RNAcentral describes it as "long non-coding RNA (MACU_LNC008018)". Lineage: Eukaryota; Viridiplantae; Streptophyta; Magnoliopsida; Zingiberales; Musaceae. The record is from RNAcentral.